Molecule: long non-coding RNA, 1935 nt
Organism: Esox lucius (northern pike)
Lineage: Eukaryota; Metazoa; Chordata; Actinopteri; Esociformes; Esocidae
Source: Ensembl
CGUUAUGUCUUCACUGCUGAUUGCCAGAUGGAAUGCCCCCCAAUGAAUCAAUCAAAUGCUGUUUUUGUUUAAAAGCUUUUUUACAUUAGCACAACACAAAGCCCAGAUCCAACAGGCAAGCAGUGUCGAGUUAAUGUAUGAAUAUCCACUUAGAGAAGCUUUUAACUCAUGUCUCUCUUAGCAGUCAAGACACAAUUACAUUUGCAAUUUGUUACUGCCCGAGAGUAAUGGAGAAUCUAAAAUGUAUUUAUUUUUAAAUACAAAUGUAUUAUUAAGUAGAUUUGUCUCUUUCUCUGUCCAGCUUUCCUGUCUUCAUUUCCCCUUUUCUCUUUCGUUCAAUCGCUCCCUUUCUCGUUCUGCCUUACGAUUCUUCACUUCUUCUGUGUCUCUCACUCAUUCCUCUUUCUUCAUUAGUCACUCCAGGGUGUAAAUUAACAAAUCGAAUGACUCUGCGGAACUAAACAAUACCAGGACAUUCCUGUACUUGCCCUUAACUGUGGAACGAAGGCAUUCUUCGUGAGUGUGGUAUGAACACAACAGUUCCAUGGUAACUGUGUAAGCUGAGGCUUGUGAUACGGACAGCUUCUGUACGUCAGACCUGGCAGAACCUCAAUGCUGACACUAGCGGUACAAUGAACAGCUUCUACCCACAAACUAUCAGACGGCUAAAUAACACACAAGCCUUUCUGGACCUCCCAGCACCCCCGAGACUAGCUGCUCUCGUGUUGACUGUUUACACACCCGUUGAGUCCCGACUCGUACCCUGUCUGAGUACGUGUGUGGGCCAGAGCGAGGCGUGAAGUGGGCCCGAUUUGACUGCAGCGUGGAGUGACGGACUGUCGCCGAGUAUCGCUCCGUUAUCGCUCACCUCACAUGGCACUUUGAGGGUUCUGUCUCCACCCAACUCUCCUCCUAUCUCAGCCGAAUCCUGUCGACCGUAUUCAGGAAGGCUUCAGGACGGACCACUUGACCAAGACAAUCUUAAGCUAACUCCACUCAGUGUUCUUUCUCCUAGAUAUAUCCACUGCUUUUUACACUGUGAAACAUAAAAUCCUACACUCCACUACUCCUUUACUCAGUAACAUAAUUCCUAAUUAGACAUUUCAGAUUACAAUGCAUUUAACGCAAAAUGUUUCAAAACACGUUGAUAUAGGCCAAACUGGCAUAUAGAUUUUUUUACAUACCGUAGUACCCCCCCCCCCCCACACACACACACACCCCUUGAACAUCCUACAUGCUGAAUGAACUAGCAGAUUUUAAUUCAGUAAACCGAUUUAUUUUGCCUGAACAGCUUAAAUGUUUUAAUUUGAAAGGCAAUUCAUUCUGAGGAGUGGUGGUGGACUGUUAUUCUGGUAAGAUGUGAGCUGGCUGCAGAGAUAAGAUACCCUACUCUGUAUCCCCUAGUUGUAUCACAUGAGACUGAGUAAUUUAUUGAUGUUGUCCAUGAACCACCAAAAGUCAGUUCAGCCUUUAAUCUCCUUUAAAAUCAUUUUAAAAAUAAAAAUACUUUUUAAGUACUUUCUCAGGGACAUCCUGAGAAAUUCCAGAGAAAACAGUCCUGAGGUAACAGUCCUGAGGUGACAGUCCUGAGAUGACAGUCCUGAGGUAACAGUCCAGAGGUGACAGUCCUGAGGUAACAGUCCCUGAAGUGACAGUCCUGAGGUAACAGUCCAGAGGUUACAGUCACUUUUUUGUCAAUUUACAUUCUGACAUCAAUUGGUAGUUGUUAAACUGCUGUUGUCAGGAUCAAUGUGAAUGAAGGCGCUGGCAAUGUAAACCCAGUUCACUUAUUCAAGCUUUUAGAGCCGUUUUACAUCUAUUUUGCAACAAAACCUUUUAAUGGUAACAGUCCAAAUUAUAUUUUCCUUGUGGAUAAUUUACAGAUGUCCCUGUCCUAAACAUCCUCAUGGAUAAUUUACAGAUGUCCCUGUCCUA